AGUGAACGCUGGCGGUAGGCCUAACACAUGCGAGUCGAACGGCAGCACAGUAAGAGCUUGCUCUUACGGGUGGCGAGUGGCGGACGGGUGAGGAAUACAUCGGAAUCUACUUUUUCGUGGGGGAUAACGUAGGGAAACUUACGCUAAUACCGCAUACGACCUACGGGUGAAAGCAGGGGAUCUUCGGACCUUGCGCGAUUGAAUGAGCCGAUGUCGGAUUAGCUAGUUGGCGGGGUAAAGGCCCACCAAGGCGACGAUCCGUAGCUGGUCUGAGAGGAUGAACAGCCACAAUGGAACUGAGAACCGGUCCAGACUCCUACGGGAGGCAGCAGUGGGGAAUAUUGGACAAUGGGCGCAAGCCUGAUCCAGCCAUACCGCGUGGGUGAAGAAGGCCUUCGGGUUGUAAAGCCCUUUUGUUGGGAAAGAAAAGCAGCAGGUUAAUACCCCGCUGUUCUGACGGUACCCAAAGAAUAAGCACCGGCUAACUUCGUG
RNAcentral lists this ribosomal RNA (492 nucleotides) under uncultured bacterium. Its description in RNAcentral is "partial 16S ribosomal RNA". It matches the Rfam family "Bacterial small subunit ribosomal RNA", at positions 29 to 507 of the family's 1533-position model. The record is from RNAcentral.